AUUUCCCAGAAGGUUUUUGGAGCAUAACGUUUUAUGGCUGAACUGUCACUUAACCUAAUAUUAAUCACAAGCCUCUCUUCAAUGUGAACUCCAUAGUCUUCACUGGACAUCUCCAUCAGCAGUUCAAUAGAGGUGUGUCAUCUGUCGUCUGUAGGGGCUUCACUGGAACUUGUGCAAUGCUCCAACAAAACCAGCUCGGUUGCAGUUUGAGCUGCUGAGUCAUGUGUAGUAGAACGCUGCUCUUAUCUCCAGUCAGCCAGGAGGACUUUCACAGGCAGUUGGUCUAUGUGAGUGAGGAAACAUGGAUGAUAUUGGCCUCCUGCUGCAGGAUUACCUGGUCUGGUGUAUGCUGGGUAGGUUCACUGGAUGAUUACUGAAUAUGUUAAGAAGUCUUAUGAGCACUGUCAAUGCCAGUGGAUAUCAUGGUUUCAUCUUGGCCUGUAACUCUGCAGUAUGGAAUUGUGGUGUAUGUCCACUCCAUAGGACAGAGGGCAGACAGAGGGAAUUCAAACAGGGGGCAUGACUCAGCAAACUGUACUCCGACUCCAAUCAACACUACCAGAGCUGAAAGGGUGCUUCCAAACCAGAGAGAUAUCAACAAAUCCCACUGACUCAGCAUAAAUGACUGCGUCUGAAAGGUCAGGAGCAUGAGAGGAGAUCAGGACAUGUCCUUAAAGUAUUCUGCAUGAACACUUAAUAGAGCAACAGAUACACAAGAGUGACUAGUCUAUUCACCCCUUUUUUUAUGUGUAAGAAAAAUUCUGACCCAAAAUAUAUCAUUUCUAUGUUAUAGUGAAACAAAUCAGUCAAAACCUCCAGACUACAAUCUAUGAUGCCAAAAUUACACAAAAUCUCUUUGAAUAUUUAAGGAGCCACAUCAAACAAUUUCCUGGACAAUAAAUGUUUUCAAACAGCAUAAAUACAACAAAAAUUAACCAAUAUGAAGAGAUUUGUAGUAUAAUACCAUCAGUGGCUAAUGUCUAGUGUUCAAACAAAUAAUGGAUUGGAUGGUUAAGUUAUACACAUACUUAUUUCUUCAGCUUUUUUAUUAUUAUUAUUAUUACUAUUAUUAUUAUUAUUAUUAUUAUUAAACCAUGGCUCACUGUUGUACCAACAUUAUAGUUGGCCUUUUAGUCACAAAGUCACUAUAUACUAUAUUGUAAAAAAAAAACCACAUGGAUUUAAAAAAUGUAUUUGCUUCUGAAAAUGUAUGAACUACAUUAUAUGAACUGUAUAGAAACACACUCAUAUAUGUUAACCAUAACAUCUCAUCAGAUUCAUCUCAGAUUGAUGUAGUGGUUAAAACUCAUUAGCUCAAUUAAAUGAGUACCAAUUAUGUAUAGACUGAUAGAAGUGAGCAGUCCAUUGUUAUUUCAUGGAUCUUUAAGCAGCCCAUAUUUUAGAUGCUUAAACAACUUGUAAUCCAUAAUUGAUUUAGAUGCAUAAGUUUGAAGUGUUCAAGAUUGGUAAUCACAUUAAUAGUCAAAUUUAUUUAAAAUCUCAAUCUGGAGCUUCACGUUCUUUGGGAAUACAUUAUGCAGCAAGAUGUCAGAGUAAAUUAAAUUCCCUUGUGCCCAGUAAAGUGUCAAUUCCCUUAUGGUAAUCAUCUACUGGAAUGGAUGUGUCAGUAGAAGGAGUCGGGCAUGCCUGACAUUUACCCUCUUUAUGGACAGAUGACAGGGAAAAAAAAUCAAGUAGAGGCAGAGAAAUUAAUCUUUCGUACGAGUGAAUAUGGAAAAGCACUAAAAGAGUGUUGAAGAAUCAGCCAUUAUAUUUGUGACCCCAACAUGAAAAUUAAGCCAGGGAUAGCAAGAAGACCAAGAAAUAUGAGCAGGGACAUGAGAGGAUACCCGAGGAAGAGAACUACACAUACACAUCUGUUGGAGAGGCAAUUGUUUUGAUGUGAAUGAUGCUGCACAAUAUUAUCAUGGCCCAAUAAUCUUUAUAUGGUUGCUUCUAACUGUUUGGCUGUUGUUGUUUUUUUGUUUUUUUUUAAAAAUGAGUUGGAAUUAUAAAUAUAUUUACAAGUGGCAUACCCUAAGCAAAGGCUUAAGAUUG
Long non-coding RNA from Ictalurus furcatus (blue catfish), 2058 nucleotides. RefSeq lists it as uncharacterized. The transcript has 3 exons. Lineage: Eukaryota; Metazoa; Chordata; Actinopteri; Siluriformes; Ictaluridae. The record is from RefSeq and is a predicted model, not a curated record.